Molecule: long non-coding RNA, 1305 nt
Organism: Anopheles merus
Lineage: Eukaryota; Metazoa; Arthropoda; Insecta; Diptera; Culicidae
Exons: 3
Source: RefSeq, a predicted model, not a curated record
GUUCGCUUUCGGGCUCGGCACACAAACGUCGAAGGGAAACCUCGCGGAGAUUGUGCGGAAUAUAUUCACGAUGUGAUUCGCGUUAUUUUAUGUUAUGAAAGAUCACGAAAGGUUUCAAUUACGGAGUGAGCAUCUAUGUUCUAUGGAGCUAGAGAAACUUCGCGGUGGUCUUGGCGCUGGGCGAUAAUCGUGUUGACAUCUUAGCCGAAUCAAAUAAUUGAGAUUGGCAUUUGUUGGAACCAGCCUAAGACAUAGUUACAUGAUGUCUAGCUGCGCCAAAAGAAGAAGAGAGAUCUCAUCUACGCGAUCUACUACAGUUGAAAAAGUUCCCAUUCCGGACAUCUUGUUCGUCUUCCGAAACGACGAAACGUGAUCUGGUGUAAAAGCCUGGGAAAACGGGACCACUCCCAGCAAAUGGCAUCCAGCUACCAGCAAGGACCCGGCGAACGUGCCGACAAGCUUCAUUAGCAGAUCAGCUGUGACAUGAAACCGGCACAAACCCAGACAUCCUGCCAUGUAGCAAAUCCGGCGGCGCUGUGCCCCUGCUCCCCGGACCACCCCGGAGACCAAACGGACGACUGGUGGACCCGCUUAUGAACCGCAUAAAAUUUAAUUUCCAGGAUAAUCGGCCGACCGAACAGCCGCGCGCUGGCAAAGGUUGCUAGCUGCGUCCUCCGGUGCACUAUUUCACACGCACGCGACCCUUCCCGAACAACAACUACAAAAAAAUGCUAAAAAGGCGUGCCAACCCGGACAGCACAGCGCACCGCCGAGGCACUCUGCUGAAUGCGCACCAACCGAACGCCGCUGCGCAAAUGGGUGCAGUUAAAAACAGUUUAAACUUGCGCCGCCCUAGCCCCCUCGCUCGUCACUCGCUGCUCAUUUGGAAGGAAUUGUCCUUUUUUUAUUUUCUGGUUUUUGAAGCUAGCUGCUGCCCUCCCUAGAAGAGCGCUUCAGCUCCUGCGGCGGAUACGGCACAAGGGAUAUCAAGAUCGACGGCACGCGUCAAAAAUCAUUCAAAUCCACAACCCACAACUGCUGAGUGCGACCGCUCGCGGACCCUGCAACGGCAUACAGUAGGGAAAUAAUUACAUUAGCUUUAAGGACAGUUGCGGUUGGGUGGGAUCUGUACACAUAACGUUUGCACCUACCUUCGGUCGCGUUUCGCGUGUGCUGCACGUGUCCCACUGUGUGUGUGUGUGUGUGUGUGUGUGUGUGUGUGUGUGUGUGUGUGUGUGUGGCGCUACCGACAAAUCUCGUUAUCGGUCCCGAAAAAUCCCCGAAAGUAAAAAAAAAAAAUACACA